GGAUUGUCUUAACUAUGCAGGCUCUUUGUUUCCAUUGCUUGGGAUCAGGAGCUCUGGGCUGUAGUGCACUAUGCCAAUCAGGUGUCUGCACUAAGUUUGGCAUCAAUAUGGUGACCUCCUGGGAGCAGGGGACCACCGGGUUGCUUAAGGAGGGGUGAACUGGCCCAGGUUGGAAACAGAGCAGGUCAAAACUCCUGUGUUGAUCAGUAGUGGGAUGACAUCUGUGAAUAGCCACUGCACUCCAGCCUGGGCAACAUAGCAAGA
This 264-nucleotide signal recognition particle RNA is filed under the name Saimiri boliviensis boliviensis (Bolivian squirrel monkey). RNAcentral describes it as "Metazoan signal recognition particle RNA (ENSSBOG00000013596.1)". The stretch from base 34 to 263 matches the Rfam family "Metazoan signal recognition particle RNA", at positions 57 to 287 of the family's 299-position model. From Rfam's summary of the family: The signal recognition particle (SRP) is a universally conserved ribonucleoprotein. It is involved in the co-translational targeting of proteins to membranes. The record is from RNAcentral. Lineage: Eukaryota; Metazoa; Chordata; Mammalia; Primates; Cebidae.